Molecule: long non-coding RNA, 731 nt
Filed under: Homo sapiens (human)
Lineage: Eukaryota; Metazoa; Chordata; Mammalia; Primates; Hominidae
Description: HSALNT0326917
Source: RNAcentral
UGAACAUCACCAGCCAACAUGUUAGGGUUCAUUAUUUGUGUCCAAAGAAGACAAGGAAAGAUCAGGACGUGGACUGAAAAACCAGAGUAGGCUCAGAAGAUUCAAAAGCUCGAAUCAGGAGGUGGUGUUUUUCCUGGUAUUUUGGCAGAUGUAACAGCACCAGAACCAGAAUGCGGGCAAUGUGAAGGAGAUUGUAGCAGGAGCAAAGAAAGGAAGGGAGAAAAGAAGAUGGAAUCCUCUUCUUUUUCCCAGGCCUCAGACUAUGCUUCACUUCAGAGCUUGAGUAGUGGGAGGAUGGUUGCUCAAAAGGAAACUCAGGUCCAGUUCCCAGAUCAUGAGUGAAUGAAUACUUAGGCAAGAAAAGAAGUCCACUGCUCAAGAGUUCCACUGGACAGACUCUCCAGCCAAGCUGCACUUCUGCCAGGGCCCAAAAUAUGCCUUGGGCUUUUCUAACAUAUCAACCUUUUAAUAAACCACUUCCCUUUUUGAAUCCUUCCCAAUUAUCUCAGCUGGCCCAAAUCCUAUCUAUCUUUUAAAAUUAAGGAAAAAAUCUCAAAUCCAGUUUAUUCUUGAAGCCUAACGGGUUCACUGCUUCCUGCAAACAAUUAUAACACUUCUUGUCUACACAACUCUUUAGGAAACAAAUGUUCUCCACCUCCUGCAGCUAGCUAACUUUUAAUGACUACAAUUUUUCUAUCCAGCUUGACUCUAAAUUCCUUUAAGAAAACUAC